This 253-nucleotide ribosomal RNA is filed under the name uncultured bacterium. RNAcentral describes it as "partial 16S ribosomal RNA". It matches the Rfam family "Bacterial small subunit ribosomal RNA", at positions 524 to 776 of the family's 1533-position model. The record is from RNAcentral.
UACGGAGGGUGCAAGCGUUGUCCGGAUUCACUGGGUUUAAAGGGUCCGCAGGCGGAUUAUUAAGUCAGUGGUGAAAGCCUACAGCUUAACUGUAGAACUGCCAUUGAUACUGAUAAUCUUGAGUACAGACGAGGUGGGCGGAAUUUAUGAUGUAGCGGUGAAAUGCAUAGAUAUCAUAAAGAACACCAAUUGCGAAGGCAGCUCACUAGACUGUAACUGACGCUCAUGGACGAAAGCGUGGGGAGCGAACAGG